RNAcentral lists this ribosomal RNA (737 nucleotides) under uncultured bacterium. RNAcentral describes it as "bacterial SSU rRNA". It matches the Rfam family "Bacterial small subunit ribosomal RNA", at positions 28 to 774 of the family's 1533-position model. RNAcentral also lists the same sequence under 2 other names. The record is from RNAcentral.
GGUGAACGCUGGCGGCGUGCUUGACACAUGCAAGUCGAACGGUAUGUGGCAACACAUAGAGUGGCGAACGGGUGAGUAACACGUGGGAACGUACCCUACGCAGGGGGAUAACUGACCGAAAGGACAGCUAAUACCGCAUAAGACCGAAAGGUGAAAGGUGCAACUGCACCGGCGAAGGAGCGGCCCGCGGACCAUCAGCUAGUUGGUGGGGUAAGAGCCUACCAAGGCAACGACGGAUAGCCGGCGUGAGAGCGUGGCCGGCCACAAGGACACUGAGAUACGGGUCCUACUCCUACGGGAGGCAGCAGUGCGGAAUUUUAGAUAAUGGAGGCAACUCUGAUCUAGCGACGCCGCGUGCAGGAAGAAGGUCUUCGGAUUGUAAACUGCUGUGGUAAGGGAAAAAUGCCAUGUAGAGUGGAAAGCUACAUGGAGGGAUGGUACUUUACUAGAAAGCCCCGGCUAACUACGUGCCAGCAGCCGCGGUAAUACGUAGGGGGCGAGCGUUACCCGGAAUCACUGGGCGUAAAGGGAGCGUAGGUGGCCUGACAUGUCAACUGUGAAAACCCGGAGCUCAACUCCGGACUUGCAGUUGAAACUGCCAGGCUUGAGGACGGUAGAGGAAGACGGAACUGCCAGUGUAGGGGUAAAAUCCUUAGAUAUUGGCAGGAACGCCGGUGACGAAGGUGGUUUUCUGGGCCGGUUCUGACACUGAUGCUCGAAAGCCAGGGGAGCGAACG